GUCGCAUAGCUCAGUUGGGAGAGCACCUGCCUUACAAGCAGGGGGUCAUAGGUUCGACUCCGAUAAGCGGCACCA
Molecule: transfer RNA, 75 nt
Filed under: Fusobacterium polymorphum
Lineage: Bacteria; Fusobacteriati; Fusobacteriota; Fusobacteriia; Fusobacteriales; Fusobacteriaceae
Rfam family: tRNA
About the family: Transfer RNA (tRNA) molecules are approximately 80 nucleotides in length. Their secondary structure includes four short double-helical elements and three loops (D, anti-codon, and T loops).
Source: RNAcentral